Molecule: non-coding RNA, 487 nt
Organism: Microcebus murinus (gray mouse lemur)
Lineage: Eukaryota; Metazoa; Chordata; Mammalia; Primates; Cheirogaleidae
Source: RefSeq, a predicted model, not a curated record
UCGCGGAGGUAGACUUGAGUUUGGGCAUCAGUUCUAGGCGGAUGUUGGUUCUGUUUUUAUACCUCUGCAGAUGGGGGAAGGUGGAGCUGGACCACAGCUCUUUGACUUACUGAUGCUGCUUUUGCGUGUUUGUCAGUUUAAAAAAUACUGAAUAAGGUGAGAAACAAUUCCCUGACCUUGAGCUCAGCCAUCUGACUUACUUUGGCCAAGUGGAUGCGCAGCAAGUGGAGUCUCAAAAAAAGCUGUGGAGUUAGGAUGGUUGAGUCUUGUGCUUCCACCAUCACCAUGAAAAUUAUAUACCUGGAGUGGCCAACUAUUCCCAGAAGAUGAGAAACAAGUAGAGCUGAGUUGCACUAAACUCCCCAGCCAAGCCCCAUCUAAAGCAGAGUUUUAGCCAUCCUGCAGACACAUGAAUGAGCCCAGCCAGGACCAGCCAACCCCAAAGUUGUAACUACUAAACUAAAUAAAUGUCAUUAUUUUUGUUGUU